ACCAGCUGUAGUUUUUGAGAUUACCAAGCCCACUCUUAGAUUCAGGAGUUUACUAGAUGUAUUAUCAGAUUGCUUGAAGCUGUUUUAACCACAUUCAUGGUUUAUUACACUGGAAGAAUAGAGAUUCAGAUCAGCAAAGAAGGGGCACAUAGGAGAGGGUCCAGGAAUAAUGUGGUAUGAGCUAUCAUUUGUCCUUUUUCAGGGGAAUCACAUGGAUAGCACUUUUUACUUUUUCUGAUACAAUAUGUGGCAAUACACAUGGAAUACUGUCAACCAAAGCUUUUGUGUCCAAGGUUUUCAUUAGAUGUUAACAGACUAUUUUAUGUAACUUAAGCUCUGAGUUACUCCAUGCUGCAUAGAACAGAAGUUUUCAGGCUGUGCCUAAGCCUUUGUUACUCCAUUUUGUAAAGCAAUAGUUUGCUAUAAGCUGCUCUGUUUUGUGUUUAAGGGCUGAGGUGUAAUGAUUCCACACCUUGUUUGUACAAAUAGAUUGUGGGAAGCCAUUCUGACACGUGACUGGGCGGCUCCCGUUAAGGGUCUGAGGCGUUCUGGCUGUGUCGGAACUUUCCCGGCCCUUUCCUGAUGAGAGAACCCGUCCGUGUGGGGGUGUGACUGACCACUGACGCCAGGGGCCCAAUCACUGACCCUGACCUUGGAGUGCAGUCCCC
This 668-nucleotide long non-coding RNA is filed under the name Marmota monax (woodchuck). Lineage: Eukaryota; Metazoa; Chordata; Mammalia; Rodentia; Sciuridae. The record is from RNAcentral.